Molecule: ribosomal RNA, 331 nt
Filed under: Sandonidae sp.
Lineage: Eukaryota; Cercozoa; Glissomonadida; Sandonidae
Description: SSU rRNA
Rfam family: Eukaryotic small subunit ribosomal RNA (bases 109-331)
Source: RNAcentral
GAUUUCUGGUCCUUCGCCUCUAGCCGGCCACGGUUUCGUGUGUGAGUGCUUGGAGUCGAGGUCCAUCCUUCCAUUGGUCUCUUCCUCUGUUCUUCAUUGGAUGGAGGAUUGCUUAGGCUAUGGAUCGUUUACUUUGAACAAAUUAGAGUGUUUCAAGCAGGCUCAAUGCUAUGAAUACAUUAGCAUGGAAUAAUAAUUUAGGACUUCGGUUCUAUUUUGUUGGUUUCUAGGACUGAAGUAAUGAUUGAUAGGGAUAGUUGGGGGUGCUAGUAUUCAGCGGCCAGAGGUGAAAUUCUUGGAUUCGCUGAAGACUAACUGAUGCGAAAGCAUU